CAAAAACAACAUAAGCAGAUAGAUCACACUUGUGUAUGAAAUUCUUUUCUCCUCUGCAUUUGCUCGGUGAUUCUCUUUUUGGCUUUCUAGAAGUCUUGAUCUUAAAUCAAAACCGAUGGUGAAAGAUACUACCUAUUAUGAAAUUUUGGGUGUCAAUGUGGAUGCGUCUGCCGCAGAUAUCAAGAAGGCUUACUACCUCAAGGCAAGGGUAGUUCAUCCAGAUAAAAAUCCUGGUGAUCCAAAGGCUGCAGAAAAUUUUCAGAAACUUGGAGAGGCAUACCAGGUCUUAAGUGAUCCUGAGAAGCGGCAAGCAUAUGACAAGCAUGGAAAGGAAGGAAUACCACAGGAUUCCAUGUUAGAUCCUGGAGCUGUCUUUGGAAUGCUAUUUGGGAGUGAGUUUUUUGACGAUUAUGUUGGCCAACUUGCACUGGCUACAUUAGCUUCUGUUGAAAUUGAGGAAGACACGCAAGAUGCUGAAAUCCGCAAACAGAGAGUUCAGGAGAAGAUGAAGGAACUGCAGAAAGAGAGGGAAAUAAAGCUCGUAACAAUUCUGAAAAAUCGCCUUGAACCAUUUGUUGAAGGUCAAGUGGAUGAGUUCAUAAAUUGGGCAAAUUCAGAAGCUCGUCGCCUCUCUGCAGCUGCAUUUGGUGAGGCGAUGCUGCAUACCAUUGGCUACAUUUACACGAGGAAAGCUGCUAAAGAGCUUGGAAAAGAUAAAAGGUAUAUGAAGGUACCAUUUUUAGCAGAAUGGGUGCGAGAUAAGGGACACCAGAUAAAAUCACAAGUAAUGGCAGCUUCAGGUGCUGUUUCUUUGAUUCAAAUACAGGAGGAUCUAAAGAAGUUGAACCAAACAGAAAACAACGAGGAGAAUUUACUAAAAGCCAUUGAGGAUAGGAAGGAUGCUAUGCUUCAAUCCCUUUGGCAGAUCAAUGUGGUUGAUAUUGAGUCAACUUUGUCACGUGUCUGUCAAGCUGUGCUUAAGGACCCUAGUGUGUCCAAGGAUGUUCUGAGGUUGCGGGCCAAGGGAUUGAAAACGCUUGGAAUAAUCUUUCAAGGUGCCGAAUCUGCUUACAGCAGGGACAACAGCCUGCGCCAUGAAAGUGACAGGAUAGGAGCUGGUCCUGGUUCGUCAUCAUAGUCGUACAUUGGAUACCACUUAUCAUGUUCUCUGUAGAUGCAUAGUCUUUGAAAAUGUUUGGUUUUGUAUCUGUAGCUUCAUACCCUUCUGUUGACCUGUGAACAUGGAGGCGGCUACCAGUUGUGUCGUUUAGGAAUGAUUUCUUAAUUAAUUUUGGUCCAUAUAGACUUUAGGAUACUGCAAAGGUGUUUAAUGUUUGAUGCCAAGCAAGAUUUGUAAGGCAGACAAAUUGCAGUGUUGAGCUGCUCUCUGUUUGAAAAGUGCCUGAGAGUUUUAUGCAUGUUUUCCAA
This 1428-nucleotide unclassified non-coding RNA is filed under the name Hevea brasiliensis (rubber tree). Lineage: Eukaryota; Viridiplantae; Streptophyta; Magnoliopsida; Malpighiales; Euphorbiaceae. The record is from RNAcentral.